RNAcentral lists this ribosomal RNA (318 nucleotides) under Alexandrium tamarense. Its description in RNAcentral is "partial Eukaryotic large subunit ribosomal RNA". It matches the Rfam family "Eukaryotic large subunit ribosomal RNA", at positions 660 to 984 of the family's 3401-position model. Lineage: Eukaryota; Dinophyceae; Gonyaulacales; Pyrocystaceae. The record is from RNAcentral.
CACGGACCAAGGAGUCUCACAUAUGUGCGAGUAUAGGGGUGGCAAACCCCCAUGCGUAAUGAAAGUAACAGUGGUGGGACCUUUGGGCACCAUCCGCCGGCCUCUUGACUUCGGUCUAUCGGUCUGAGUGUGAGCAUACAUGUUGGGACCCGAAAGAUGGUGAACUAUGCCUGAGCAGGCCGAAGCCAGGGGAAACUCUGGUGGAGGGCCGCAGCGAUUCUAACGUGCAAAUUGAUCGUCGGAUUUGGGUAUAGGGGCGAAAGACUAAUCGAACCAUCGAGUAGCUGGUUCCCUCCGAAAUUUCCCUUAGGAUAGCUG